Molecule: non-coding RNA, 908 nt
Organism: Rattus norvegicus (Norway rat)
Lineage: Eukaryota; Metazoa; Chordata; Mammalia; Rodentia; Muridae
Source: RefSeq, a predicted model, not a curated record
AUUAUUACCAAAUGCCAUACUUACAUUUGUACUAUUGGUUGCUACAAGAGAUCAGGUAGAUGUUUGAGAGCUGUGCUGCUGCCACCAUGAAAUAUACUGCUAUGAGUGGACUGUGCUUCCACAUAAGGCUAUGGUGACAUCUGGACCCAUGCUGCUACAAGGAUGUAUCUAGAGAACUGGGUUUGUUUCCUAGAACUAACAUGGAACUUUACAACUAUAUGUGAACUACAGUCCCAGAAGAUCCAACACCUUCUCUGACCCUCCACAGAUCCUACUUUAUGGAGAUUAUAUUGCAAUUAUUUACAAAAGCUUAAUUGAGUCAUCAGCGGAUACACAGUUGAAGUCAAUGUCCAUCCUUCUCACAGAUGAUUCAACAUUAUGCUAUUCUUUACCUUCUUUAUGUUCAUCUUCCAUGAUAUAUCAUGUGCUAGCUGAACGUAUUUCACAAGAGGAACGCCAUUUAAACAUUGCAUAAUAUAACCUCAUGACAAGUAAGAAAGCUAUGUAAUGAUCUCUAGAGGGUCUUAAAAAUGGUUUCUAUUAAAUCAAUAGCUACUUAUAAUGAAUCACUAAGGAAGCAAAUUACAGUGACAAGUAACUUAUUUUCACUAUCAAUGAUAUUCUUUUAUACUUGUAGAUAGGCUUCUAGCAUAAUUGUCCUCUGAGAAGUCACACUCAGCUGCAGACUGAAACAGAUACAGGAAAAACAACCGAACAUUGAAUGAAGCUUUUGUUUUCUUAUGGAAAUAUUGGGGAAAGGAUUAAAGGUAAUAAGUAAUUAGUAAUAAGAAUUCCUUAGGAAAACAAAGAGUCAACUAUCCUGAGCUUUGAGGGCUCCCAGAAAGUGAACAAAAAAGGCAUAUGAAGAUGUUUCAAUACUGUUUACUACCUUUAAGCAGACUAGUGCA